RNAcentral lists this ribosomal RNA (484 nucleotides) under uncultured bacterium. RNAcentral's name for it is "bacterial SSU rRNA". It matches the Rfam family "Bacterial small subunit ribosomal RNA", at positions 28 to 517 of the family's 1533-position model. The record is from RNAcentral.
GAUGAACGCUAGCGGCAGGCUUAACACAUGCAAGUCGAGGGGCAGCAUGAGACGGAGAUUCGUCGAAGUCUUGAUGGCGACCGGCGCAAGGGUGCGUAACGCGUGAGCAACUUGCCCGUUUCUGGGGAAUAACCGGUGGAAACGCCGACUAAUACCCCAUAGUAUUGACUUUGGGCAUCCUUAGUCAAUUAAAGAAUUUCGGAAACGGAUAGGCUCGCGUGACAUUAGCUAGAUGGCGGGUAACGGCCCACCAUGGCUACGAUGUCUAGGGGUUCUGAGAGGAAGGUCCCCCACACUGGAACUGAGACACGGUCCAGACUCCUACGGGAGGCAGCAGUGAGGAAUAUUGCACAAUGGGCGCAAGCCUGAUGCAGCGAUGCCGCGUGAGGGAAGAAGGUUUUUCCGGAUUGUAAACCUCUGUCUUCAGGGACGAUAAUGACGGUACCUGAGGAGGAAGCUCCGGCUAACUACGUGCCAGCAGCCG